RNAcentral lists this ribosomal RNA (467 nucleotides) under uncultured bacterium. RNAcentral describes it as "bacterial SSU rRNA". It matches the Rfam family "Bacterial small subunit ribosomal RNA", at positions 328 to 793 of the family's 1533-position model. The record is from RNAcentral.
UUUCCAGACUCCUACGGGAGGCAGCAGUGAGGAAUAUUGGUCAAUGGGCGGGAGCCUGGACCAGCCAAGUCGCGUGAGGGACGACGGUCCUAUGGAUUGUAAACCUCUUUUGUCGGGGAACAAAGGCGCCCACGGGUGGGCGGAUGAGUGUACCCGAAGAAAAAGCAUCGGCUAACUCCGUGCCAGCAGCCGCGGUAAUACGGAGGAUGCGAGCGUUAUCCGGAUUUAUUGGGUUUAAAGGGUGCGUAGGCGGAUUUUUAAGUCAGCGGUAAAAUGUCCGGGCUCAACCCGGGCCGGCCGUUGAAACUGGGGAUCUUGAGUGGGCGAGAAGUAUGCGGAAUGCGUGGUGUAGCGGUGAAAUGCAUAGAUAUCACGCAGAACUCCGAUUGCGAAGGCAGCAUACCGGCGCCCGACUGACGCUGAGGCACGAAAGCGUGGGGAUCGAACAGGAUUAGAUACCCGCGUAA